This 382-nucleotide ribosomal RNA is filed under the name uncultured eukaryote. Its description in RNAcentral is "partial 18S ribosomal RNA". It matches the Rfam family "Eukaryotic small subunit ribosomal RNA", at positions 592 to 976 of the family's 1831-position model. The record is from RNAcentral.
CAAUAGCGUAUAUUAAAGUUGUUGCAGUUAAAAAGCUCGUAGUUGGAUUUGUGGCUCGUCCUGUCGGCCUUGGGACUUUGUCCCUUUGGCUGUACGGGUCGGCCAUGUUUGGGUGGAUCCUGUGUGGCAUUAGGUUGUCGCGCAGGGGAUGCCCAUCGUUUACUGUGAAAAAAUUAGAGUGUUCAAAGCAGGCUUAUGCCGUUGAAUAUAUUAGCAUGGAAUAAUGAUAUAGGACCUUGGUACUAUUUUGUUGGUUUGCGCACUGAGGUAAUGAUUAAUAGGGACAGUUGGGGGUAUUCGUAUUCCAUUGUCAGAGGUGAAAUUCUUGGAUUUUUGGAAGACGAACUACUGCGAAAGCAUUUACCAAGGAUGUUUUCAUUAA